This 96-nucleotide non-coding RNA is filed under the name Paraglaciecola hydrolytica. Its description in RNAcentral is "Paraglaciecola sp. S66 c-di-GMP-I riboswitch aptamer". It matches the Rfam family "c-di-GMP-I riboswitch aptamer". Rfam says of the family: GEMM was predicted in a large-scale screen for bacterial structured RNA regulatory elements. Genes associated with GEMM are involved in a diverse array of functions, including chemotaxis regulation, signal transduction, secretion and chitin. The record is from Rfam by way of RNAcentral. RNAcentral also lists the same sequence under 1 other name. Lineage: Bacteria; Pseudomonadati; Pseudomonadota; Gammaproteobacteria; Alteromonadales; Alteromonadaceae.
UUGUGAAAAAGGCAAAACAGAUGAAAGUCUGUGACGCAAAGCUUCCGGUCUAAGGCGCUGAACAACAGUAAGCACUAUGAUAGCGGGGUUACCAGA